Peromyscus maniculatus bairdii (prairie deer mouse) is the source of this 1612-nucleotide non-coding RNA. NCBI's taxonomy places the organism in Eukaryota, Metazoa, Chordata, Mammalia, Rodentia, Cricetidae. The record is from RefSeq and is a predicted model, not a curated record.
GAGCUCUCCCUGCUGGCUGAGGUCCCCUCCUGGGGUCUCCGACCCACUUGACUGCACCCUGACAGAUCAGGCCUUUUGUGACACUGACCACAAACGAUGCCUAUGCCAAAGGCGCACUGGUCCUGGGCUCGUCUUCGAGACAACAGACAACACAGGACAGCCAGGAGGAUGGUUUUAUUCACCAGCCCUCAGGUCUCAGAUUCCAUGAGAAAAGUUUUAGACUGUCUUUGAUGACGUCAUCAUGGUAGACAUCUUAGACAGUGGCAAUUCUGCUCAUCUAACUUUAAUGAAGAGGCCUGAGUUGGGUGUCAUACUGAGGAAACGCCUCGGCUGGGCACUUACACAGUAUUCCAAAUGUGUGUUCCUGGAUGCAAAUACUCUGGUCCUCACAAAUAUUGAUGAUCUUUUUGAAAGAGAAGAAUUGUCAGCAGCAUCAGACGCAGGGUGGCCAGGCUGCUUCAAUUCUGGAGUCUUUGUCUAUCAGCCCUCAGUUGAAAUGUAUAACCAGCCAUUGCACCUUCCUUUUGAGCAAGGUGGUUUUGAUGGUGGGGACCAGAGCUUACUGAGUAUAUAUUUUAGUGGCUGGGUGGCAACAGAUAUCAGGAAACACCUGCCGUUUGUGUAUAACACGAGUGGCAUCUCAAUAUACUCCUACAUCCUGAUGUUUGAAGUGAUUAGUGCAAAUGCCAAAGUCAUGCACUUCUUCGGAUGAAUCAGGCCAUGGAAUUAUACCCACAGUCCCCAAACAAAAAGGGUCAAAUGUGAAUCCCAGGACCCCACCGUGAGUCACCCAGAGUUUCUGAUGCUAUGGUGAGACAUCUUCAUCACCAGUGUUUUACCCCUCCAACACUAUGGCCUUGUCAAAAACGACUGCCCAUAUCUAGUAUCUCAGGAGCCUUCUCACGCCUUCUCUUGGGGUGGGCCCAGCUACACCACAACUUUCUGUGUUCUCAGAAGGCAGGAGCAGUGGGAGCAGGGCCAGGCUGAAUACACGGGAGCAGAUUCUUAUGAUAACAUCAAGAGAACACUUGACACUUACCUACAGUAGAUGCACUGCCACGUUCCUGGGGACACAUCCACGUCAUAGGCACGUUUCUGAUACGUAGUUUGUGAAGCGGGUGGAAAAGUCUGUUACAGUCACUAGAGCCUUUCCCUAAAACUCACCAAAUGAGGGGUUUUGGCAGGAUGACAGGUAAGACCCAGGGAAACAUUAUGAAGUAGUAAUCCUGUUACAUGGAGAGGUGCUCUGUUUAAGUCUAGACUUUUUCAGGAACUCUUCAUUCUGCAGUUGCCACCACGUAUGGUAAAGAAAAGCCCCCACUAAGUUGGCUCUCGAGUGGUGCAGAACUGACUGUUUAUUUCCUUCAAAACAGAAUGUGACAUUGUCCCGUAUUUGCAUGUUGUACCCUUUACUAGACCUGCACUUCAGAAUUGCCCAAAGCUUGUCAGGGAAGUAAUUCCACUUCCAGGGGAAAUUGGCCUUCAUUAACACUGUGGACUGAUUCAUAAGCCUGCCCGCCAGUGUUAGUUCACCAGUUUCUAUGCACCUCGAAGGCAGCAUGCUGACUCGCUUUCGGUCACUUCUGUCUACUAGACAAUUGCAAUGUGGUCU